This 21-nucleotide microRNA is filed under the name Monodelphis domestica (gray short-tailed opossum). RNAcentral's name for it is "mdo-miR-12378-3p". The record is from miRBase by way of RNAcentral. Lineage: Eukaryota; Metazoa; Chordata; Mammalia; Didelphimorphia; Didelphidae.
UCACAUUUCUGUAGCACUUUA